Molecule: long non-coding RNA, 394 nt
Organism: Girardinichthys multiradiatus
Lineage: Eukaryota; Metazoa; Chordata; Actinopteri; Cyprinodontiformes; Goodeidae
Exons: 2
Source: RefSeq, a predicted model, not a curated record
AAAUCAUAUUUCACACUUUAUCCUUAGCAGGAUACAGUUUGAGAUUGCAAAAAAACCUCAGCACAAAGAAGAAACAAGUUGACAAAACAACAUCAUGCUGGGAACGGUGAAGUAGCAGAGCAGCCCAGACCAUUAUAGACCAGCACAUUGUUUGAUCUCAGUAUGGUCUGUUUUGUGUUAAUUUUCUGCCAGGCGUAAUGGGACACACAUCGCCCAAACAGUUCAACUUUGUCAGGGUAUAACACAUGGCUAAAAUCUACAGGAUGGAUGGGACCCUGGAGAUGCUCUGAGACUCUUUGGAUACCAGCUGUUCCUGAUUUGUUAUAUUUAAAAAUGUCUCGUUUCUAUUACGCAUCCAGCGUUUCUCGUGAGAAUAAACUCGAACACAAUUUGA